UGGCUCAAUGGUAGAGUGCUUGCCUUGCAUGCAUGAGGCCCUGGGUUCGAUCCCUCAG
RNAcentral lists this transfer RNA (58 nucleotides) under Dipodomys ordii (Ord's kangaroo rat). It matches the Rfam family "tRNA", at positions 8 to 63 of the family's 71-position model. Rfam says of the family: Transfer RNA (tRNA) molecules are approximately 80 nucleotides in length. Lineage: Eukaryota; Metazoa; Chordata; Mammalia; Rodentia; Heteromyidae. The record is from Rfam by way of RNAcentral.